Sinocyclocheilus grahami is the source of this 214-nucleotide long non-coding RNA. RefSeq lists it as uncharacterized. The transcript has 4 exons. Lineage: Eukaryota; Metazoa; Chordata; Actinopteri; Cypriniformes; Cyprinidae. The record is from RefSeq and is a predicted model, not a curated record.
GAUUUUACAGCUUCUGAUUUUCCCCUCAUUCGAAAAUGGUGGUGCCUUAUUCUGAUGGAGAAUUUUGCCAUUGAAAGGAAACAUGCUGCUGUUGAUGUGCUGGUGCCACUUGAACAACACAACACUGAAAUCGCCGACAUGGAGCCAUGGAUAGUAAAAGACCUCUUGACCGCAGUUGGAUGGCUGCCAAACUGCCAUGCCUUCAGAGGUUUUG